This is a long non-coding RNA of Nymphaea colorata (pocket water lily), 1613 nucleotides long. RefSeq lists it as uncharacterized. The record is from RefSeq and is a predicted model, not a curated record. NCBI's taxonomy places the organism in Eukaryota, Viridiplantae, Streptophyta, Magnoliopsida, Nymphaeales, Nymphaeaceae. The transcript is spliced from 4 exons.
GAGAGCAGUAGGGCAUCAGAGAAAGGGAGGGAAUCAGAGGGAGAAAGGGAAAAAGCCUACCGGCGGUGGAGCGGAGAGGCAGCGGCGACGGUGCAACCUCCUUCCACUCUGGUGGGAUGUGAGAAGGCUCGAGGGAGGAGGAGCUGCGGUGCGAUGUGAGCUGCAGAAGGAGGUCGUGCGCUGAGGAGGGAGGUCGAGUGCCCGAAACAACGAGUGGGUGAAAUUUCACCCAAGGAGGUCGUGCGCUGAGGAGGGAGGUCGUGCGCUGCGGAAGGAGCUCGGACUUUUGAGCGGGUGGAAUUCCACCCGCUCCCUUUUGGGUUAAACGGGUGGAAUUUCAUCCCGUUUGACGGGAUUUCAAUCGGGCGGGUGAAAUUUCACUCGCCCGUACCAAUUUCUUCUCCCCGGGUGGAUUUCAACCGCCCAUCAAACGGGCCCUUAAUGCAAACCUCCCUCUCCUCAAACCCCUUUUCUCUCUAUUAUUGUAGGAAUAUAGAAUGCCUGCAACUCAGGGGCAAAGCUAAAAAUUUGAUUGAAAUAUAAUUUUUCAAAAUUUUUAUAUACAAUAAAUAUUUUUUGAAGAGACCCCUGCCGGCCGUUGGCCCCUGUGUAACUCAAUGGUUCCACGACUUAAGCUCAUGAUGGCAUUGCUUUGGCGGAGAAGCAAAGAGCACCAUUUUACAAAUGUAGCAAUUCGUGGGAAUGCCACCUUCUACCAGGUAAAACAGAGAAGAUAUGACAUUUUUGGUGUUUGGGGAUAUUUUACAAGAGAUCGAGAUCCAAAUCCAAAUCCAAGGAGUUGAAGUGGAUCAAAUCUAGGAUCCAAAUCCUCAUAGGCUUCCUUCAAAUAAAAUGCCAAACACCGACGUCUUUUUUUGUUAUGGCGUCGGAGGCUAUGGUAAAACCGACAAUUGGUGUUAGUAGUAGCUGACGAAGAGUAGCAGGGCCCCAAUCGACGAUCUCCAAUAGCACAGCCAUUACCCCUUGCUGAUUGAGAUGCAAAAGCAGCAAGCUGCAUCGAAACGACGCUCCAACUUUUCUCAUUUGCAUCGUCGGGUUCUGGAUUUCCUCCUCCAAUCUUCGCGGGCAUCUCAAUUUUCCUAGGAAGGCCGUAAGCUGUGUGUGAAAUCCAGGUGGUGACUUGAUGAGCAUGUAAGAAUAUGGUAAACAAGGGGGAAUGGAAGUAUUUGCUCGAUUUGUGCUACUAACUUUUUAUUAUUUGUAUGUCUGGGUAUAUGGAGUAUCAUUGUUUCUGGAUUCAUUUGGAGAGGUGUUAAUGCUUUGAUGCAAGUUUUUCUAUAUUCGUUCUCAGGGCUGUCAAUUCACUGUAAAUUUGGUGUGGGUGACCGGUGAUACUCUGUAAUGCUUAAAGGGUAAGCAAGUUCCUACCCACCACCCGGAAAAGAGGCCGAAGAACAAAUCUCGUUGCUUUUGGGUCCUGGGUCAGUAUCAACAUGACAGCAGUGCACUCCUCAACUCAUAUACUAUGCUCCACUACUUAGAUGCAAAGACAAUAUACUUAUGACUAGAUACAGUCCCUUUUCACGGGCCCUUAGUCUGACCAGCUGCACUAUGUCUUUUGUGGCUGCUAAAUUGAUGAAAAAUAUCUUAAA